GCAGACGACGGACUUGGAAACAGGUCUUCCAGCAAUGGCGUCUGUGUAGGUGCUGCAUGGUUGUCGUCAGCUCGUGCCGUGAGGUGUCGGCUUAAGUGCCAUAACGAGCGCAACCCCUAUCAUUAGUUACUAACAGGUCGAGCUGAGGACUCUAGUGAGACUGCCGCCGUAAGGUGUGAGGAAGGUGGGGGAUGACGUCAAAUCAGCACGGCCCUUACGUCCGGGGCGACACACGUGUUACAAUGGGGGGUACAGAGGGUUGCUACCUGGUGACAGGAUGCUAAUCUCAUAAAUCCUCUCUCAGUUCGGAUCGAAGUCUGCAACUCGACUUCGUGAAGCUGGAUUCGCUAGUAAUCGCGCAUCAGCCAUGGCGCGGUGAAUACGUUCCCGGGCCUU
This 396-nucleotide ribosomal RNA is filed under the name uncultured Paludibacter sp. RNAcentral describes it as "bacterial SSU rRNA". It matches the Rfam family "Bacterial small subunit ribosomal RNA", at positions 988 to 1382 of the family's 1533-position model. Lineage: Bacteria; Pseudomonadati; Bacteroidota; Bacteroidia; Bacteroidales; Paludibacteraceae. The record is from RNAcentral.